This 841-nucleotide long non-coding RNA is filed under the name Triticum aestivum (bread wheat). Its description in RNAcentral is "long non-coding RNA (TAES_LNC016022)". Lineage: Eukaryota; Viridiplantae; Streptophyta; Magnoliopsida; Poales; Poaceae. The record is from RNAcentral.
CGGGCUUCAUGGUGGGGCUGGGAUGGACCCCUGGUAGGAUCGUAGGCAAUGUCGCUUGCUCUGCCACGUCAUUAUACGCGAUCCAGGGCAAGAGGAUAUCAACCAGGACACAGUUGUAUCCCCAUUGCAACGCAGAGGUUUCAUAUAACAAAAGAUAUUAUUCUCUAAUAUGAAUCUGUAAGAAAAGAUAUGUCAUACAUUUGUGGAAAUUGAUAAUGUAAGCUAAUCUCAAAACUUUAUUUCAAGAUUGAUUACUCGGUGGUGCUAACUUCCAUUUUCUCAAAACAGGAUGUGCAUGCUAUUUCUGAAAAGAGAAGCUUCUAUGUUGGCUGGCAUCCCUGGUGGUAGUUUAAGAUAUCUAGCAAAUGAAAGGGCGCCUCAUAAUUCAUUGGAUAUAGACCAGUAGGGUCAAUUACAUAUAGUUGGCUGUAAAUGACUUUCAGUUUCUAGCUUAAAUAUAGUUUUAGAUAUCUAGAUAUGUACUCUUUAACAGUAUGAUGUGCUUGAUGGUGGCCCUAUGUGUUGGUUGAAAUUAUCACGUUCUUUACGAGCAGUUGCAGUGCUCUUAUUAUUUUAUUUCCACAAAUAUCAUCACAUUUUCCCUCAAUCUUAAGAUAUGAACUAUGCUGCUCCUCCUGGCCUGUGUGUUGCUUCCGCUGGAUGAUGCUCUGUUUUAUGUUUGUUUGGACAAGGUCCAAGACCUGGCUGAUGUACAGUUUUGACAUACAAUGAUCUGCAUAUGUAUGUCUUUAUUUGGGUUAUAGACAGGAUACAAAUAUUGUAUGUCAGUGUGGAACACCGUACGCCUUUUAACUCAUUCUAGGUGUUCAUUCAAUCUGAA